This 468-nucleotide ribosomal RNA is filed under the name uncultured bacterium. RNAcentral's name for it is "partial 16S ribosomal RNA". It matches the Rfam family "Bacterial small subunit ribosomal RNA", at positions 28 to 507 of the family's 1533-position model. The record is from RNAcentral.
GACGAACGCUGGCGGCGUGCUUAACACAUGCAAGUCGAACGGAAAGGCCCUGCUGUUGUAGGGUGCUCGAGUGGCGAACGGGUGAGUAACACGUGAGUAACCUGCCCUUGACUUUGGGAUAACUUCAGGAAACUGGGGCUAAUACCGGAUAGGAGCUCCUGCUGCAUGGUGGGGGUUGGAAAGUUUCGGCGGUUGGGGAUGGACUCGCGGCUUAUCAGCUUGUUGGUGGGGUAGUGGCUUACCAAGGCUUUGACGGGUAGCCGGCCUGAGAGGGUGACCGGCCACAUUGGGACUGAGAUACGGCCCAGACUCCUACGGGAGGCAGCAGUGGGGAAUAUUGCACAAUGGGCGGAAGCCUGAUGCAGCAACGCCGCGUGCGGGAUGACGGCCUUCGGGUUGUAAACCGCUUUCGCCUGUGACGAAGCGUGAGUGACGGUAAUGGGUAAAGAAGCACCGGCUAACUACGUG